Non-coding RNA from Sesamum indicum (sesame), 3211 nucleotides. Lineage: Eukaryota; Viridiplantae; Streptophyta; Magnoliopsida; Lamiales; Pedaliaceae. The record is from RefSeq and is a predicted model, not a curated record.
UCCAGUAGAUAGCACAACUUCCCUUUUCUUUAGCGACCACGUACUACUCUCUCGCACUAAAUCUCUUUCCACCACAGAUUGAUUGAUUUACCUGCUUCAGGCUACCAGGAAGGCGCGGAGCAAAACACUGUUGAUAUUGUUAUAUAUUUUGGAGGUCAACAAAUCAAUUCGAAUGGUUCUGCCCAUCGUCGUAUGCAGGCCCAUCAUCAUAUGCAGGGACAAAUGCAUAUUCAGGUUAAUCGGAUUACGCGAGUUCAUCUGAAUACAAUGAUGAAGAUAUCGAGUUUGAAGCGGAUAGCUUGUUGAACACUGAGCAAGUUGACUCAAAAUCAGAUGAGGUCGAAGUACAAGACCAGAUUGACCAGAAUAAUGACGAUGAUGGUGAUGUAAGUAUACUUGUUAGGAUGGAUGUUCUUGGUGAGAAUGCACAAGAGCAUUUUGAUUUGAAACUAAAUCUAAAUUGCUCUUGUGAAAAUUAAAAUAAAAUCACAUUAAAUAAAAUAGAAAUUUUAUAGACAUCUCAAUUUACAUAUGCAAUAUUUUUAUGCUUUCCGUAUAUAAUACACAACUCUAAUAAUGCCCUCCAGUGCCAGAACGUGGACGUCUUCUGUUUUUUCGAGGAGGAUUAUCAUCUCUUUGGUCACUGGGUGUAUUCACAUCGGUGUUUUCGAAUAGAAUUGGUGAUGCAACAUAUUGUCUUCGAAUUUGCGGGUUAACAUUAUGUGUAAACGUAUCAUCAAAUGAUGGCAUGUGUGGAGCAUAUGGAGUGUAAGUAGUCGAUGGACCUGUUUUCGAGUUAAAGCUCCACGGACCAGCCUCUAUGUACGCUCGACGGACCAGCCUCGGUAUGUACGCUCGACGGACCAGCCUCGGUAUGUACGCUCGACGGACCAGCCUCUGUGAAUGCGUUGCCACGAGUUGUGUGAACCAGUCUAACUCGAACACUUGGAUACCGUGAAUAGAAAAAGUUCAUAAUUUCACGUCCGAUCGUACGUGCUCGCGCUCGAGUAUCUCUUGAUGACUGUUGAUCAUCUUCGAAAUUUUCACAGUCAAUCACUAGCUGCUCCAUUCUAUUAUACUGGUAAACAAAAUCAAAUUAGCAGCAUAAUCGACUGGCUAAAAUAAAUGAACAUAAAAAAAUAUAAGGUGCUUACCACAUAUUCCUAAUCACGGGUGUUAGUUGGUCGAUAGCCCGACGUGUUCGUAGACAAUGUGUUAUGUGAAAUCUGGACCCGAAUAAUUUGAUGAUACCAGUUCAUAUAGUCAGGACGGUAUCAAGACCACCUUCAAUAACGGGUCAUUCCACCACCAGUGAUUGCACAUCGUUCCAUUUCGCAAUAUAGUUCGUGUGAAACGUUGCCCAAUCCAUGUCAUGACGUCCCCGCCUAUCUAUUGUGUGUAAACGACGUUCACUGAUUAAUGGGUUUGGGGGGAUGUCUUGCACAUAGCCAAAUUGGCGGAGAACCCUCUCCGGGUAAUGCAUUUCCACCAGCGAAUAAUUGAUCAAUAGGCAGCGUAUAUUCCACGGUGUGCGUAUUGCUAAAAAGGCAAUGUCCGAAGCUCGAGUGCAUUAUCAUCAUACGGAUUCCAAAUAAACUACAAUACCAUAUAACGCUAAUCAAUAUACUUGGAACAAAUGCAUCAGAAAUACACUAAACGUAAAAAAUAAAUCGCAACGAUAUACCUCAUUUAAUUGCAUACCAUCCAACACGUUCCUUAUUAUACGUAGAGCAUUGUGCGCAGUAUGAGUACGGGAUAUAUGAUACGACCACCUAAAAUUAAAAUUAUGAAAAGUAAGUGAAAUCUAUAUAAAUAAAUAAAAAUGUUCAUACCGUGCAGCAUAUGGAGGGCUAGGUAGAAUGUUGUCAGGGUCCAUUAUGGUCGAAACCAGAGUUGAAGCUUCGCUCGAGGGAAUGGGUGCAAGUGUUAUGAUGCGAGAUCAUGCCCAUAUUUGUAAUAAUUGCAUGGCACCGCCAAUAUUAUUUUUCCCUCAUUGUGAUGCUGUACACAGCUCUCGGUAUAGAUAAGACAACACUGUUGAACCCCAAUUUGAGGUAUAUUCUUUGUGUAUAUUUUCCAUAUGCCGUAAAUAUAACAAUGACACGGUGUUCCCCGUAGCAUUAAGGCACAACACACCACCAAUAAUGCACAUGGCACAUAUACGUGCCUCCUGUAACACAGCCUCAAACGGGCUAUCAUCAUCACAUGUAUUUUCUAAUAAAUAUUCAUAUAACACUGUCAGUUUUAUUUUUGACCAUCUAAAAGCAUUUUCAUUUGGCAUAAAAUCCAACUAUUGAUGACAAUAAUUUUGCCACCGUUGUGUACUAUACCUUGUAUCUACCCCGAUAAUAAGAUUAUCUUUCACCGGGAGUGCCUAGAUGAUGGCGAUAUCCUGUAGUGUUACAGUUGCUUUGCCCGCCGCAAAAUGAAAAGUAUGCAUCUCGGGGUGCCAUCUCUCUACUAAAGCAAUAAUUAAGUAGGUAUUAAUUUUAACAUGCCCACACUGCAAAACACCAAGAAACCCCAUAUUCUGGAAUACUUGCAAAAUACGAAUAUGACGUGGUGCUAGUUGUAAGACACGAAAAAAAACUAUGUCACCGCGUCGUAUUGAUAAAGUUGUAUCCGAAUUUUUGGACACAUCUUCUGAUCGAUGAUUUAAUUGCCCGUACAAAAUACUGGUAUCAAUAGGGCCAAAAUUAGACAUACCCUAAUUUUUUUUAAAGAGAAAGGUGUAAAAAUUGUGCAAGAACAAGAACAAGAACAAUAAAAUUGGGCGGAAAAUGUUGAAAAACAAGAAAGAGAAAGAACAAGAACAAUGAAAUUUGCUGAGGAAAUGUUGAAGUGAAGUGAAAAACAAGGAUUGCAGCUCACAUUUAAAUAGUGUGAGAUGCAAUUGUCACAGGGAAUUUAUUUAAAAAAUGCAGGAAAAAAAAUUAGAAAAGUAGGGUGAAAUGGAGGUGUUUAGAAAAGUAAAUGGCUCACCGCGGUGCUAUAAUUUUAAAAAAAAAAAAAAAAUCUCUAUGUCACCGUGGUGGUUAACCGCAGUGACAGAGUUUUUUAAAAAAAAAAAAAUUUAUGUGCCACCGUGGUAAAUGACCGCAGUGGCAGGAAUAUUAUAUUAAAAAAAAAACAAAAACAAAGAUAGCGGUUCUUCACUGAAUUCCAAAAAGAAAAAAUAGUCAAACUGCAGCCUGCAAUUUUGCAGGCUGCA